CCUUCCCCUUGUCAACCAUUGAACCACCCAAACAGAAUGCCCACUCACUGUUUAACCGAAAGCCCCAAAGGCUGCACGAUUUUUGGCAAAAUCACACAAUUACAAAAAGCGCCCAAACCAGCUUCCUUGAUCCUCAAAGAUGUUGGAUUAUUACAUCUUUAUUCACUAAGUUUAGGACUUGGCCAAGAAAUACCUUUUUUUUAAACGGAGACUUGCAAGGA
This 221-nucleotide long non-coding RNA is filed under the name Elaeis guineensis (African oil palm). RNAcentral's name for it is "long non-coding RNA (EGUI_LNC073763)". Lineage: Eukaryota; Viridiplantae; Streptophyta; Magnoliopsida; Arecales; Arecaceae. The record is from RNAcentral.